GUAUAUGGGAGCGGUGGUAGCUCAGUCGGGUAAGCGCCCGCUUCUCAAGCAAGAGAUGCGGGUCCGAAUCCCGGCGCUGACAUGUACC
This 88-nucleotide transfer RNA is filed under the name Plutella xylostella (diamondback moth). RNAcentral's name for it is "tRNA-Glu". The record is from RNAcentral. Lineage: Eukaryota; Metazoa; Arthropoda; Insecta; Lepidoptera; Plutellidae.